GACGAACGCUGGCGGCGCGCUUAACACAUGCAAGUCGAACGGAAAGGCCUGCUUUCCCUUGUGGAUUGCGGGUACUCGAGUGGCGAACGGGUGAGUAACACGUGAGUGAUCUGCCCCCAACUUGGGUAUAAGCCUGGGAAACUGGGUCUAAUUCCCGAUAGGACUGCAGGGUGGUGCCUGUGGUGGAAAACGAUUUUCUAGUGGUUGGGGAUGAGCUCGCGGCCUAUCAGCUUGUUGGUGGGGUAAUGGCCUACCAAGGCGGCGACGGGUAGCCGGCCUGGGAGGGUGGACGGCCACAUUGGGACUGAGAUACGGCCCAGACUCCUACGGGAGGCAGCAGUGGGGAAUAUUGCACAAUGGGCGGAAGCCUGAUGCAGCGACGCAGCGUGGGGGAUGACGGCCUUCGGGUUGUAAACUCCUUUCGACCGCGAGGAAGCCACCUGGUUGGAAGGGUGGUGACGGUAGUGGUAGAAGAAGCACCGGCUAACUACGUG
Molecule: ribosomal RNA, 494 nt
Filed under: uncultured bacterium
Lineage: Bacteria
Description: partial 16S ribosomal RNA
Rfam family: Bacterial small subunit ribosomal RNA
Source: RNAcentral